GCAUGUGGGCAAUCAAUUCAUAAAAUAAUGUUAAUUGAUUACUUUUAUUUAUUUCUUUUUUAUUCAUAUGAAAUGAAAAUGUAGGCCUCUACUUGGUUUGGGCAACUUCAAUGCACUUUGUUUGUUCCGUAUGUCGCCGCAAAUAAAAAUUAUAGACACAACACUCGCGAGCAGCCAGCGCAAGCGAUGUUUGAUCCAACAAAACACAAAGGGAAUGAUUUGACGUAUGCGAGGUAGCUGCUAUGGAAGAUAAGAGGUCAGAUAGUCUAAAACCCGGUUUAAUCGGCAGAUUCAUUCAGAAAUUACGAUGGCUGUGGUUAAACUACCUUUGUUUUCUUUCUCUCAACAUGCUCGAACCGUGGGAACAGGCUGUAUUUAAUAUUGUAAUAGUCCUUGUACUGAUGAUGGCAACUUAUUCAGCAUUUCUUUUCAUGCCUGGUCACUUCCAGAUGCUCACAAGGAAUUGGGGUUAUAUAGCAAAUUAGAACUUCCAUAAUUCCUCAGAGAAAAUUUACAGUACCAUUCAACAGUCUUCCAACUUUCACACAAUUGAUAUCCAAGAAGCUGAUUUUUUUUCCACCAGUGAGGCUCGUCUUGGUGUUUGAAACCUAAGUUUUGUGGAGCUUGAGUAUCAAAGUAAUGAUUGAACCUGUAACCAAGGAACAUGAAGAUAAGCACCGAGCCACACCAUCACUCUGAAUUGUAUAUAUCAAGUUUUAUGUGAGAGCUAAAAAUAUGUUUACCAUGCCAUUGAAGGGGUAAUACUUAAUUGACAGACGAAUGGACUUACACAGAAAUGUUUCCAUAAAGGACGUUUUUUGUUUUUUUUUGUUUUGUUUCGUGAAAGAAAAAAAUAAGGUUGGUGUAUUAUGUAAAAAUGCUGAUGGUGAAGUUUAAGAAACAUAAUGUUUUUUUUAUUUGGCCUUUCUGUUAUUCUUCUUAAUUCUAACUUCUAUUUUUAACAUAGAAUUUGUUAAAAAAUGAAAACACAUAAAUUGUACUACCAAUGAGAAACAAAACAGUAAAUAAUAUUGUAUAUUUUGCUUUUGUAUUCAAGGUAUUUGUAAUAUAAGCAAUACCUUAGAAAAUGUUAAUGAAUUUUGCAGUUUAAUAUGUCAUUAAAAUGUUAUAUGAAUGUUAUUGCAUCAUCAACAAUGAAACCAGAUUCAAGGGUGGGGUGAAGUUCCACAUGUCAGACAAAAAUGCAUCUUCUGCUCUCGGAUGUCAACCAAAAUAUGUUAAUUUUCCAAUCCAACCUAAAUUAUUGUGAUUACAAUUUCUUUAUUGUGGUUUACAAUUGUUACCACCAUUCUAAAAACCAAAAUGUCUUUCCCAUUAUCAUCAGUGGUUUCACCCCUGAAACCUAACCGUGGACCCUUAAAUUGGUAAUUUGCUUGAAAAAAUACUGUGCGGUUAUUGACUACCUAUUAAAAUAUUCUCUCAGUGAAAUAUAAAUGUACCAAAUUCACUUGCCCAUUGUCUCCAGCAAUAUCUUUUUUUUUUUAUAGACUGAUAGAUAAUACCAAAUUGACCCAAUAAAAUAUGUUGAUAACGAAUGUGUGCUUCACGUUGCAGUAAUUGCUAUCAUUACCAAAUCACAUCAGUACUUGAAGAUAUUAAAUUCCAUAUAGUGUGUGUGUCUGAAACAGCUAUUAGCCUUUGAAGGUCACUGACAUAUCUAUGAGGCCCUCCAAAAAAUGUAUGUUCCCUUCCCCACCCCCUUUUGAAAAUGGAGAUGUACCUAGCAAAAAAAGUAUGCUGAAGUACUCAAACAUCACAUCAUAUCACCUUAUUUGCCAGCUAAUUCCCCCUCAUUUAAUUAUGGCACCCCCACUUAACCUUUACAUCAGAUGUAUGCUGUAAUUGUUGACGUGAAUGAGCACUAAUGGAACUUUUCAAAAAUGAUCAAAAAUCUAUUACUAACAAAUUGUAUUAAACAAAUCAAUUCUUGAUUCAAUAUAUUUUUUCUAUUUAUUUUUCCCAUUUAUGUGCCGUUAUGACUAUAAUUCCACAGCACAGACAUUCCCAAGGUUGUUUUAUUUGUAACAAACUUAAGAUUUUACAGUAACUUUCUCACUUUUUAAAUUCUUAUAGAGUAUUAUCGCAUGGCGGUGUGCUAAUCUAAACUGUAUUAAUAUUUAUUAUAUUCUUUAAUUAGAUUUAAGAAGAUAGGAGUACCAGUAUGUUCUAAAAAAGACGCAGUUAUCGGUGCAGUAAUGUACAUGAGUACAAUGCAUGCAUACAGCACAUGCAUUACAAUGCAUGCAUGCUUAGGCCAUGAAGAUACAACUAAAAUACAGUACUGUAUAUUAUUAACUAUCUUCCUCAAACUGUCAUUGAGGAUUGCUAUUGUGUCGCUUGGUUUAAUGGUAUUUACACAAAGAUAAAUGCUUGUCUAGCACUCGAUAGGUAAACAAAUCUUGAGUCAGGAAUAUAAUGAACUGUGAAUUUAUCAAGUACAAAUAUUUGCUAUUGCCAUACAAACUGUGUCAGUGGGUCUGUAUGUUCCUAUCUUUUUCUAUGUAAUAGUGUGUGCUAUAUCUAAUUUCUCGUUAGAGUUACUGUUAUACAGUAUAUUAUCUACAGUUAGUCUGUAAACUGACCACAAUGGCAAGUAUAAAGGAGCGAACAGGAACAGACCAGCAUUUUUUGUACUUGAAGACUGCAGUCCUGCUCUUCAGUUUUUUCCCAUUUUUCCCUUUGUAUAAUUAUACCUUUGUGUACAUUAUUGAUUGCAUUGCAUGUCAUCUGUACAGUAUAAUAAUUAGGAACAAUAUUUUACUCAUUAUAUAGGUAAUAUGGAAAUUUUUCAUUUAAAUACAACUUUUAGACAUUGAACCUCAUAAUAUAGAUCUUACAAAUUCUAGAACUGAAUUUUUGAUUUGUGUUUUCAAAGCUGUCUAUGUUGUGUCAUUAGAUGUGAUACUGGUACAUGUAUACUGUAUUGCAUUUGAUUUUUAAAAGCAAAAACGAUUGUAAUGACUUUAAGCAAGUUAAUAGGAAAACUUAAAUUUGUUAAAAUAGUAUAUUUUGUAUGUGUGUAUUAUCAUCAUCAGUACGCUGCAUCAUCGUUUGACACUUUUUACUAACGUAUUUAUAUAUGAAAAAUGUUUAUAAAAAAACAUUCUAUUAUUAUAACAUUAUUAAUUAUCAUUUAAAGUCUGUGUUAAGCUUAAAAAAAUCAAUAUUUGAAUUGCCUGCUUUGUAUAAAGUUUUGUUUCAAAUUUAGAAUGAUAAUAUUUCCUUAAAAUUUCAAGACAUAAAUAAAACCAUAUUUGUGUGUAACACCCUUUAAUUUGCUGGUAAUACCUGUAAAUUUAAAGAUUAGAUCUGUUUAUCUACAACAUAAUCAUUUGUACCGCUCUAUUUUCAAUGGAUUCAUAACGCCUAGUGUCAAGUUCAGUGUACAAACAAAAGUGAAAAUGAUUGAUGUAAAGCAGUGAGAUUAAUUGUUUUGAUCUAUGUUUCAUUUGAAGUCAAUAACUUAUUUAAUCUAUUUACAUAAUUUCAUAUUUUAAGCUUUAUCCAGAUUUUAUUAGAAAAUUUAUAUUUAAUAAUUUGUGAAUAAUAAUACUUAUUAUUCUUGGACUUACUAAAUAUUCAUGAUGUUGGUAAUGUAAUAUGAAUAUUCAUAAUGUUAGCAAUGUAGUGUAUGCAUUGUGUUGGCAAAAUAUCAUGAAUAUUUAUAAGUUUGUUGAGGAACAAAAGCAGUUUUCUUGCCAUAUUGUAGUUUUUGGCUGAUUUUUUUUUGUGUGUGUCUAUGCAGCAUUUAAUUUACAUAAAUUUACAUUUCCUUCAUAAGGAACGAAACUCAACGAGUUGACCUUGUUAAGUGAGAUAUAUUUAUAGGAACUUUAUAGGAAGUGAAUAUUUUAUCAAUAUUAUUGUACAAUUCCUUUUAUGUGAAUACUGUAUGCCAUCUUCAGACAUAAAAAUGAAAAUAAUUUUCAAUUACACGUUUCCCUCUAAUUGAAGACCACUUUUGGGACCAGAGUUUCCUUCCAUAAUUUUUAGCAUCUUUGUUCUCCAAUUAGAAUAAUGUAAAAAUAAAAGAUAUUUGUUAAUUAUGAAACCACAGAAAAUUAGAGGGAGACCUGUAUUUAUCAUUAAUUAAUUUUAAGGUAUUUUUAAUGGUUCAGAUGAAUUUAACUUGGUAAGAUAUGGCAUCAACAGGUGGUUAUACAAAAUAAACAAAAAUAAAAAAUAUCCAGUUAUUA
Molecule: long non-coding RNA, 4217 nt
Organism: Anneissia japonica
Lineage: Eukaryota; Metazoa; Echinodermata; Crinoidea; Comatulida; Comatulidae
Exons: 2
Source: RefSeq, a predicted model, not a curated record